This 253-nucleotide ribosomal RNA is filed under the name uncultured bacterium. RNAcentral's name for it is "partial 16S ribosomal RNA". It matches the Rfam family "Bacterial small subunit ribosomal RNA", at positions 524 to 776 of the family's 1533-position model. The record is from RNAcentral.
UACGGAGGGGGCUAGCGUUGUUCGGAAUUACUGGGCGUAAAGCGCACGUAGGCGGCUUUGUAAGUUAGAGGUGAAAUCUCCCAGCUCAACUGGGAGGGGUCGGGCGAGACUGCGGGGCUCGAGGUGGGUAGAGGGCAGUGGAAUUCCGGGUGUAGUGGUGGAAUGCGUAGAGAUCCGGAGGAACACCAGUGGCGAAGGCGGCUGCCUGGGCCUGGCCUGACGCUGAGGCGCGAAAGCGUGGGGAGCGAUCCGG